UCUGUUUUCUUGCUUCUUCUCCACCUUCUCCAUCCCUCCACUUUUGCCCGUCAUCCGUGAUGACCUCAAACUCACCGAAACUGAUAUUGGCAACGCUGGCAUCGCCUCCUUCGUCGGUUCCAUAUUUUCACGCCUUGCCAUGGGACCUGCCUGCGACCUGAUGGGACCACGUCUUGCCUCCGCCACGCUCUCUCUCGCCACCGCUCCUAUUAUCAUGUCUGCUUCUUUAGUCACAUCUCCUACCUGUUUUAUUCUCAUUCGCUUCGGAGUAGGAUUUUCGUUGGCCAACUUCGUGGCCAGCCAGUUUUGGAUG
This 313-nucleotide long non-coding RNA is filed under the name Populus tremula. Its description in RNAcentral is "long non-coding RNA (PTRE_LNC000252)". Lineage: Eukaryota; Viridiplantae; Streptophyta; Magnoliopsida; Malpighiales; Salicaceae. The record is from RNAcentral.